RNAcentral lists this ribosomal RNA (256 nucleotides) under uncultured bacterium. RNAcentral describes it as "partial 16S ribosomal RNA". It matches the Rfam family "Bacterial small subunit ribosomal RNA", at positions 524 to 776 of the family's 1533-position model. The record is from RNAcentral.
UACGUAGGGGGGCAAGCGUUGUCCGGAAUCAUUGGGCGUAAAGAGCUCGUAGGCGGUUUUGUCGCGUCUGCUGUGAAAACCCGAGGCUCAACCUCGGGCCUGCAGUGGGUACGGGCAGACUAGAGUGCGGUAGGGGAGAUUGGAAUUCCUGGUGUAGCGGUGAAAUGCGCAGAUAUCAGGAGGAACACCGAUGGCGAAGGCAGGUCUCUGGGCCAUAACUGACGCUGAGAAGCGAAAGCAUGGGGGAGCGAACAGG